RNAcentral lists this ribosomal RNA (30 nucleotides) under Gnetum latifolium. RNAcentral describes it as "partial 18S ribosomal RNA". The record is from RNAcentral. Lineage: Eukaryota; Viridiplantae; Streptophyta; Gnetopsida; Gnetales; Gnetaceae.
ACCGUAGGUGAACCUACGGUAGGAUCAUUG